This 253-nucleotide ribosomal RNA is filed under the name uncultured bacterium. RNAcentral's name for it is "partial 16S ribosomal RNA". It matches the Rfam family "Bacterial small subunit ribosomal RNA", at positions 524 to 776 of the family's 1533-position model. The record is from RNAcentral.
UACGGGGGGGGUAAGCGUUGUUCGGAAUUACUGGGCGUAAAGGGCUCGUAGGCGGCCAACUAAGUCAUACGUGAAAUCCCUCAGCUUAACUGGGGAACUGCGUGUGAUACUGGAUGGCUUGGAUUUGGGAGAGGGAUGUGGAAUUCCAGGUGUAGCGGUGAAAUGCGUAGAUAUCUGGAGGAACACCGGUGGCGAAGGCGGCAUCCUGGACCGGUAUUGACGCUGAGGCGCGAAAGCUAGGGGAGCAAACGGG